CUCAGAUUAAUAACCCGAUGACCUGUGGUAAUCCCACCGGAGGAGGAGGGUCAGCGUCAGCGGCGGGGUUCCUCGUCGGUCAACGGCAGCCUUUGUCUCCUCUUCCACCGUUCCCGGCUGUGCAUGCGGCGGCGGAGUCUCCGAUCUCCGCUUACAUGCGGUUUCUCCAGAGCUCGGUCUCCUCGGCUGCUUCUCCCAAGUGGAACAACCUUCCGCCGCCGCAGAUGCCGCCGCCGCCACCGGCGCUGCAUCAGCAGCAGCAGAACAUUCCUCCGCCGCCGCAGGGUUUUCCUCAGUUCCCGGUGCUUCCACCGACUUCGCCGCUGGCUUUUGGAUGUAUCCCGUCGCCGAGGUCGCCCUACGCUUUACUGUCCCCGAGCUUGCUAUUUUCGCCGACGGGUCUAGGUUUUCC
RNAcentral lists this long non-coding RNA (412 nucleotides) under Coffea arabica (coffee). RNAcentral describes it as "long non-coding RNA (CARA_LNC007037)". Lineage: Eukaryota; Viridiplantae; Streptophyta; Magnoliopsida; Gentianales; Rubiaceae. The record is from RNAcentral.